This 323-nucleotide unclassified non-coding RNA is filed under the name soil metagenome. RNAcentral's name for it is "partial contains 5.8S ribosomal RNA, internal transcribed spacer 2, and large subunit ribosomal RNA". The stretch from base 1 to 120 matches the Rfam family "5.8S ribosomal RNA", at positions 35 to 154 of the family's 154-position model. The record is from RNAcentral.
GAUGAAGAACGCAGCGAAAUGCGAUAAGUAAUGCGAAUUGCAGAAUUCAGUGAGUCAUCGAAUCUUUGAACGCACAUUGCGCCCUGUGGUAUUCCGCAGGGCAUGCCUGUUCGAGCGUCAUUUCAACCCUCAAGCUCUGCUUGGUGUUGGGCCCUGCCCGCUGCGGCCGGCCCUAAAGACAGUGGCGGUGCCGCCUGGCCCUGAGCGUAGUACAUCUCUCGCUCCAGUGCCCGGUGGUAGCCUGCCAGAACCCCAACUCUCGUGGUUGACCUCGGAUCAGGUAGGGAUACCCGCUGAACUUAAGCAUACCAAUAAGCGGAGGA